UACGUAGGGUGCGAGCGUUGUUCGGAAUUAUUGGGCGUAAAGCGCUUGUAGGCGGUUUGUCGCGUCUGCUGUGAAAAUCCGGGGCUCAACCCCGGACUUGCAGUGGGUACGGGCUGACUAGAGUGUGGUAGGGGAGACUGGAAUUCCUGGUGUAGCGGUGAAAUGCGCAGAUAUCAGGAGGAACACCGAUGGCGAAGGCAGGUCUCUGGGCCACUACUGACGCUGAGAAGCGAAAGCAUGGGGAGCGAACAGG
This 253-nucleotide ribosomal RNA is filed under the name uncultured bacterium. Its description in RNAcentral is "partial 16S ribosomal RNA". It matches the Rfam family "Bacterial small subunit ribosomal RNA", at positions 524 to 776 of the family's 1533-position model. The record is from RNAcentral.